UACCCGCUGAAUUUAAGCAUAUUAAUGAGGGAAGGAAAAGAAAUUAACUAAGAUUCCUUGAGUAGCGGCGAGCGAAACAGGAAAAGCCCAGCACUAAGUCCUCCAAUCGUUCUGGUUGGCAGGAGAUGCAGUGUAUGGAAAGUCUAUUAUCUUAUAUGACGAUAAUACGUUCAAGUCCAUCUUGAAUGGGGCCAUUUACCCAUAGAGGGUGCCAGGCCCGUAGUAACUAUUAUCAGUAUAAGAAGACUUUUCCAAAGAGUCGUGUUGCUUGAUAGUGCAGCACUAAGUUGGUGGUAAACUCCAUCUAAGGCUAAAUAUAACCACGAGACCGAUAGCGAACAAGUACCGUGAGGGAAAGUUGAAAAGCACUCUGAAUAGAGAGUUAAAUAGUACGUGAAACCGCUUAGGGGUUAAGCCCGAUGAACCUGAAUAUCUGAAAUGGGAAAUUCAAUACUAUUUUAAUUAAUUAUGUAAAAAUAAUUAUGCGAUGGUAUGCACUUUUCCCAUAGUAGGACAUUGCGAUCCAUUAGUAGUCUUUUAUUAGACGGUUUAUCAUACGGCCCGCGUAAUUUAGUUUAUUCAUUUUAUAAUAACUUGUUGUUAUAUCGAAUAAUAUUACAAUGGUGUCCCGAUAAACAGCUGAUGGAGCUUAACAAUCAUGCCACCAUGCAAAUGUAUCACGGUUUAUAUAAAUUAUUUAUGUAAAUGCAGUGAUCGCAUGUAUUUGAUUAGCAAUGCGAUAGAUUUGGGAUACCUUCGGGACCCGUCUUGAAACACGGACCAAGAAGUCUAACAUGUGUGUAAGUCAUUGGGUAUAUUGUUGAAACCUAAAGGCGUAAUUAAAAUAACUAUUUUAAUGGGGAUUACGAGUAAUUUUAAUAUAAUUUAUUCCUCCAUCCCGGGGCGUUCUAAUAGAACAUGGUUU
RNAcentral lists this ribosomal RNA (925 nucleotides) under Megalopelma nigroclavatum. Its description in RNAcentral is "eukaryotic LSU rRNA". It matches the Rfam family "Eukaryotic large subunit ribosomal RNA", at positions 22 to 790 of the family's 3401-position model. Lineage: Eukaryota; Metazoa; Arthropoda; Insecta; Diptera; Mycetophilidae. The record is from RNAcentral.